RNAcentral lists this ribosomal RNA (315 nucleotides) under uncultured bacterium. RNAcentral's name for it is "bacterial SSU rRNA". It matches the Rfam family "Bacterial small subunit ribosomal RNA", at positions 32 to 324 of the family's 1533-position model. The record is from RNAcentral.
AAUCAACGCUGGCGGCGUGCCUCAGACAUGCAAGUCGAACGCGAAACCUUCCUUCGGGAGGGGAGUAGAGUGGCGCACGGGUGAGUAACACGUAGGUAAUUUGCCUUCGGGUGGGGAAUAACAGCCGGAAACGGCUGCUAAUACCGCAUAAUGCAGCGGCUCGACAUCGAGACAGUUGUUAAAGCGGGGGAUUCGCAAGAACCUCGCGCCUGAAGAGAAGCCUGCGGCAGAUUAGCUAGUUGGUAGGGUAAUGGCCUACCAAGGCGACGAUCUGUAACCGGCCUGAGAGGGCGGUCGGUCACACUGACACUGACA